GAGCGUGGAAUGCCGGUUAUGGAACUUCGGAGCGAGGUGAGUCUCCUUCCUAAUCUUAUAAGAGGGAAUUGUCCCCAUAGGUGAGUUAAUUGGUUAUGUGCUCCUAUUUGUGGGGGCUACGCACGUACGAGGUGACGAGAGUCCGUGCGUAGCUACUAUUAUGCUUAAGUCCGGGUAGUCUAGGGUCCAAAAGAAUGCUUUACCUGUAAUAUUUGCAACCUUGUUGUCAAUUUAAGAAUGCUUAAACACAUAUCAAAUGUAUAAAUAAAUUUCUAAAAGGCUAGACAUCAUUUCUUCACUUUUAAAAGAGAAACUUGCAUUUUCCUGAAUAGUUGCUCCCUGAUGAAUUCUUGAUUGACUGCUUGAAUGUGUUUAUUUAUUUUGGGACGGGCCGAACGCCUCAGUAGAUUAAAUAGAUGCAUAUAUGGUUCGCGUCAUUCGACCCUCUGGCAGUGCACAGUUAAAUAUUAUUGGAUCAGGUCGUACGUCCUCGGCAUGAUUUGCGCUUGCUUGUAAUGUUUGCCUUAGAAACUAUAAAUGUUGAUAUUUGUUCUCCCAAGCCUGAGAUAAGUGUACAAAUAAUAAAAAGGAAAUUUGGAAAUUUCCUAUAAAAGAAAGAAUUGUUUAAUUGCUUUAUUCUAUUGAGUUACAAUCAUGUUUAUAAAAAUCCUUGAUUUAUUAUAUUAUUGGUGUAUCAUUAUUGGACAAAGAGAUUGAUGAUGUAAGGAGCGACCGCUUUUGCGGAGCCGGGACCGCUUCUGCGGUCUCGCUUCUGUGGAAGUUGCGUCGCACCUGCGCCCCUAGCCAAGCCCAACCAUUUUCGCUUUUGUGAUACCAAGGCCGCUUUUGCGGCUCCGCACAUGCGGCCAAAACCUCGCAGGUGCGGUUACUCCAGAUACCAUCUGCUUCAAUUCUUCUUCAAAUUCCAAAUUUGAUCUGUUAACCAUCUGGAAUCCACCCGAGGCCUACAGGACCCUAACCAGUCCCAAAACAUAAUGCGGACCUAUUUGAUGCCUCAAAUCACAUCAAACAAUGUCGAAAUCACGAAUCGCACUCCAAUUCGAGCUUAAAAUAGUUUAGAAUUUCAAACUUCUACUUUUGAUGUCUAAACCUAUCAAAUCACGUCCAAUUGACCUCAAAUAUUGCACACAAGUCAUAUUUGACAUUACGGAACUACUCCAACUUCCGGAAUCGGAAUCCAACCCCGAUAUCAAAAAGUUCACUUCCGAUAAAACUUCUCAAAACCUCCAAAUUUCUAUCUUUAUCCAAAUGACUCCAAAAUGACCUACGGACCUCUAAAUUCACUUUCGAUCGGGCUCCCAAUAUUAGAAUCACCAUACGGAACUAUUCCCAGACUCGGAAUCCCAAACGGACAUCGAUAGCAUUGAAAUGCACUUCAACCCAAAUUUAUGGAAUUCUUCCAAAAAUGCUAACAUCCACAAUAGGUGCCAAAACGCUCUCAGGUCACCCAAAACACGAUCCGGGCAUACGCCCAUCCGAAAUCAUCAUACGAACCUGAUAGAACCUUCAAAAUCCCGAUUUUGAGGUCGUUUACUCAAAAAUCCAAUCUUAGCCAAUUCUUUCAACUUAAAGCUUCUGGAAUGAGGAUUGUUUUCCAAAAAAUUCCAAACUUCCCGAAAUUCAAUUCCGACCAUGCAUACCAGUCAUAAUACCUUAAGUGAAGUUGCCCAUGGCCUUAAACUGCCGAACGACGUGCUAGAGCUCAAUACGACUGGUCGGGUCGUUAUAUUCUCUCCCACUUAAACAUAUGUUCGUCCUCAUUCAAAAGUGCUAAGAACUGCGCUGGAGUUGUCCGAAAUCACUGUUUAGCACCUUGUGCACCUACCCGUGCAUCUACAACCCAGUUGAGCACAUCAGUUCGAUCAAUUCUAAAAAUAUUCCCUUUUAUUCAAGCAAAUACGCUUAGAGCCCCAUUCCAACAUUCGAAAUUCUCCGUCAGGCCUGUUCCAAUGUAUGAAAACCGUAUCAAUCACUACACGAGCUACCAGAGCAUGACUGCAUACCUUUGCUGAAUUCUCACCAUACACCACAUCAAUCAUAGGACCAUAAUAACAUUCUCUGAUUAUAAUAACCAACAUUCCCUAAAUCUGAUUCUCACAACACACCUCAUGAUAUAUAUAAGUCUUGUUCCAACUCUCGCAAUACCGCCACGACAGAAGAGACGUGUAGAAAUUUAUAUCCCACUACUAAGUCAACAAAUCAUUAAGUCUAUUCUUCUGACAAGAACCAUUACCUCAUUCUGAACCAAAUAAUGAUCUUUGCUAUUUAAUAUACUUCAUAUAGUCAGACUGCACUGAUCCUAGAUCCAAUAAUCUUGUCUUACCUAGUACGAACUGCUCAGGAAAUAAGCCACCCCGGCCAUGAUCAAAAGUCCUAUAUGAUGUCGUAAUGUGCCAAUAGGCUGCAAGCUCGAACAUGAUACAUAAGAAAAACAAACUCAAGAAGGGACUACUCAACUCACGUGACUAAUAUGAACUUUUCUCAGAAAAUGGGAAACAAAAACACAUAAAAACAGGUAUAGAAAACUAUACUCAACAUCACACUGUUGUGGCGUGCAACUCGAUCCAAACAACAUACCCAUUGCAAUAUGCCACACGAUCCACACAUAAAUUCACAUAAUGAGAUGUACAUCGAGCUAAAUUGCUCAUUACAAUAAAAUACCGAAUAUCGGUCACAAACACGCUAAGUGCAUAAUACCAUCCCUGGGGAGAAAUAUAGCGCCAUAAGCUAACAAACUCAAGCACAACUGAGGUGCUAUUUAUGUUCUGAAACUAAAGAGCCAUCCUGCUCAUCCGAGUUAUCCAAAAAUAAGCAAAAUUUAAAGUUGUUUUAUCAGUAGCGGCAGGAACUUAUGGUUGAGCCAAGACGGCAGCCGGAGUUUCUGAUCGUUGAUCACGGGCACCAAAAACUUCAACAGUUUGCGCGGCCUCUACGGGAGGAUCCACAACAACACCUUCUCCGGAGCUCGUCGUAGGAGAGUCGUCCAGGUGAAUCACUUUUGGGGGAGUCAUCUCAAACUCUACUCUCCGUCUCUUUGACGACCCCUCUUCUUCUCCAAUCGAUGGUGACUCGUUCGUAGGAUGGAUGAUACUAGUCGAGACCUCAUCUUGAAAAGCUAUCCUCGCUAAAGUAACUAAGGCCGCAGAUUCAACCAAAGCAGCCCUCGACGAGGGUCAUACAGUGGGUACGGCGGCAAGGCGAGCGGAUGCGGUCGGCUGGCGAAAAGCUAGUUGAGGGGCCCUUGCUCUCCGCACCCUCCCUGGCAAUGACGAAUGAUGUAAUAGAGGCUAAACAAUAAAAGAAAAAGAGAACUGUAGAUGAAGGCGUCAUCUCACCUGUAACAGGCCUGCGCCCGAACUUCUCUUGAAAGGUCGACCAUGUGUGAACUCAUGUGAGAACAAGGGAAAUCAUAUUAGAAUCCGAUUCAAGUUAGAAGUAGCAGAAGCUAGCCUUAAGAAUGCGGGUCGACAAAGGUCCAAGAUAACAAAAAAGAAGUCUCAAUCAAGAAUAAAAGAAAAAAGAAGUAAAUCCAAAGUGCAGAAGCAGAGAAAAAAUGUGGACUGCUCAAGACAUAAUUGAAGUCACAGGCUCUGCAUGUCCCAUCUUGAUCUGAAAAAGCUGAAGAAGAUUGAACCAACACCUGCAGCUAACAAGCAUCAAGAUUCAUAUCAGAGUCCGUAUGAAGAACCAACCAAGACUCAAGAUCAAGCUUCAGAAGACUCAUAGAUAGGAAUCUUGUAACUCGUAGCUGAUAGGCUUGGUUAGUCUUGUUCAUUUUUUAUUUUUGAUGUAAUAACGGGAUUGCGGACCGAAACCUCGACGGCACCUCGACCGGCUCUUCACCUCGGUAUAUUCCAUCAUCUCACUCACCUAUGAACUACACGUGGCCUGAUUCCUUUAUAGCCAAGGAUAUGUAGGCAGCUUAGAUACCAGGGCUCGGUCACAUUCCCCUUUUCCCUUAGUUGUGGUCUCCUUAAAUAAGGGNNNNNNNNNNNNNNNNNNNNNNNNNNNNNNNNNNNNNNNNNNNNNNNNNNNNNNNNNNNNNNNNNNNNNNNNNNNNNNNNNGAUUUUUCAUAUUUUAGCAACGUAAAUAUUUAAUUUAGGCUUAAUAUAGCUAUUUCAACUCAUUUUUACUUUUUUACUUUAUUUUAUUUACAUGAAAACAAAAAUUACAAAAAAUAGUUUCAUUAAUAUUUUGUAGUCAUUUUUAACCUUGAAAAAUACCAAAAAUAAUUUUGUUUAAUGGUCAGUCUUAUUUUAAUAGUUAUUUUACUUAAGUAGGAUUAAUUAAUAAAUGAGGUCAUAUUUUAGCCACGUUCGCGGAAAAAGAAUAAAACUUGGGCUCGAGCAACCCAUUUUUUAAGCCUAAUUUUGGACCUACCCAUAAUUCCCAAACCCAUAAUUCCUAGGCCCCAAACGCCUAACCUAAUCCCUACCCCUAUAUAAUAGUACCUAAUCUCUAAAUUGAGAGAGACCCUAGACACUGAUCCGUCGCUUCUCUAAAAAGAUCAAAGAAAAAAAGCCAAAAAAUUACAGAGACAAAAAGGCUGACCUAGAGCUAACACUAAGAAAGAACGAACCAAAAGAAAAAUCAAAAGAACAUCAUUCUCAUUUGGAGACGUUAUUGAUUUGUAAAGAAACACACAAAAAGGAGCUGAAAAACGGAAAUCGAAAAUGAAACAGAGGCAAGAAUAAGAGGACCUUCUUCACGUUUUUUCCACUCAAUUUCACCCUCAUUUUCUUCCAUACAAAAUCACACAAACACCAUAAAAAGCUGCUAGUCAUUUUCUCACAGAGAACCUCCCAAAAUGUCAUUUAGAUCUAUAACCAAAAAUCACUCAAAAACUCAUGAAUUAAGUUUCAUCCUUUAGCCGUGAAAAUGUUCCUUAAAUCUAGCGUUUAACAUCUUUCUUACUUCAUGAAACUACCACUAAAAUGCUACCAGAACUAUCACUAGAGUGAAGGGUGACGAAAAGCAAUCGAGUUCCAGUGGGCGGGUUUUGAAUUUUAGCGCGACGAGUGGACUUCGCUGGAACUCUAGCUGAUGGUUCGAGGUUUUCGCGAUUCGAAGGCCCUGUUGAAAGUUGACUGAUCAUUGUGUUGCUGUAAUUUAAAAUUCACAAUCAUCUAUACAAUUGUUUUAAAGUGAUAAUACUAUCCAAAAAGAAGUGGAUGGCUCUUUAGAUAAGUGAUAAAACAAUUUUGCUUAUUGCAAAAGUUUAUGAUUGAAAUUAAAUUACUUGCAGUUGGUAGAUUCUGCAAUGACUAUAUAAUACUAUCCAAAAAGCAGGGAAAAUAUAAAGUUCAUAUUAAAAUUAAAGUUAAAAUUAAAUUUAAUCUUUUAACCAAUUUCUAAAGAUAUCAUGUUUUAGUUUCCAUGUGUAUCUAUCAUCAGUUCUCAUUUUAAUAGGAACUUUUUAAAAUUAAGUCCAAAUUCAUAAAAUAAAUAUUUAAAAUAAAUUUUAGAAUUUUUGAAAUAUUUUUAAGAGAUAUAUUUUACAAAAUACUCGGUUCAUUUUUCAUUGCCUUUUCUAGACCAAAUGCUAGAUAGACUUGCUGGGCAUUCCUACUAUUGCUUUUUGGAUGGGUACUCAGGCUACAACCAGAUUAUGAUUGCACCAAAGGACCAGGAGAAAACCACCUUCACAUAUCCGUAUGGCACCUUUACAUUUUCACGGAUGCCAUUUGGUUUGUCCAAUGCACCGGCUACCUUUCAGCGGUGUAUGAUGGCUAUAUUUACGGACAUGGUGGAAGAUUUUUUGGAAGUGUUCAUAGAUGAUUUUAGUGUUUUGGGUGACUCUUUUGAAAAAUAUUUGGGUAAUCUUAACAAAGUGUUGGCUCGAUGUGAAGAGACAAAUCUAGUGCUUAAUUGGGAAAAGUGCCACUUUAUGGUUGAUGAGGGCAUUGUUCUCGGCCAUAAGAUCUCAAAGAACGGUAUCAAAGUGGACAAAGCGAAGAUUGAAGUGAUUUCAAAACUCCAUCCUCCUACUUCCGUUAAAGGAGUGAGGAGCUUUCUUGGGCAUGCUGGGUUCUACCAAAGGUUCAUCAAGGACUUCUCCAAGGUGGUGAAUCCUUUAUGCAAAUUAUUGGAAAAGAAUACAAAGUUUUUGUUUAAUGAUGAGUGCAUGACAACUUUUGAGCUUCUCAAGUAUAGAUUGACUACCACUCCCAUCAUCACCGCACCUAAUUGGAUAUUGCCAUUUGAGCUCAUGUGUGAUGCUAGUGAUGUUGCGGUAGGAGCGGUCUUGGGGCAAAGGGUGAAAAAGAUGUUUCAUCCGGUGUACUAUGCAAGCAAAACUAUGAAUGAUACCCAGGUUAAUUAUACAGUGACGAAGAAAGAGUUGUUAGUAAUUGUGUUUGCAAUGGAAAAGUUUAGGCCUUAUCUCAUGGGUGCCAAAGUGAUUAUUCAUACUAAUCACGCGACACUCCGUUACUUGAUGACCAAAAAGGACUCUAAAGCUAGAUUGAUGAGAUGGGUUUUGUUGCUUCAAGAAUUUGACCUAGAGAUUGUUGAUUGGAAAGGAAGUGAAAAUCAAGUAGCGGACCACUUGUCCCACUUGGAAGAGGAGGGGAGACCCAAAGAUGGUCUCGAAAUUAAUGAUGCAUUCCCUGAUGAAUAACUCCUCUUAGUGUCUUUGAAUAGUAUGCCUUGGUUCACCGAUGUGGCCAAUUUUCUUGUGAUCGCCAUUGUUCCGAGUGAGCUCUCUUCUAACCAAAGGAAUAAGCUUAAACGGGAUGCUUGGAUUAUUACUGGGAUGAGCUUUUUCAAGAUUUGUAAUGAUGGUGUGAUCCGGAGAUGUGUUCUGGAAGAGGAGCAAAUGAGUAUUUUUUAUGCUUGCCAUUUCUCUCCCUACGCGGUCAUCAUGGUGGGGCGGGAACUGCUUCAAAGGUUCUUAGUUGUAGUUUUUAUUGGCCUAAUCUGUAUAAAGAUGCUGGUGAGCUUGUCAAGAGAUGUGAUGAGUGUCAGAGAGCGGGUGGAAUUUCCAAGAAGGAUGAAAUGCCUCUCACAACUAUUCUUAAGGUUGUCAUUUUUGACGUGUGGGGCAUAGACUUCAUGGGGCCUUUUGUGAGUUCAUGUGGAAACACUUAUAUUUUGGUGGCUAUUGAUUAUGUUUCCAAAUGGGUUGAGUCCGUGUCUUUGCCCAACAACGAAGCCCGGAGUGUGGUGGUGUUUCUUAAGAAGAAUAUCUUUACACGGUUUGGCACUCCUCGGGCAAUCAUCAGUGAUGGGGGUUCUCAUUUCUGCAAUAGUGCAUUUGACACUUUGCUUGCAAAGUAUGGUGUCAAUCACAAGGUAUCAAUCCCUUAUCAUCCUCAGGCUAGUGGACAAGUUGAGGUCUCUAACAGGGAGAUAAAGAGUAUAUUGUCAAAUAUUGUCAAUGCAAAUAGGACUGAUUGGUCAAGGAAAUUGGAUGAUGCUUUGUGGGCUUAUAGGACUGCUUAUAAGACUCCAAUUGGUAUGUCUCCAUACCGAUUGGUAUUUGGGAAAGCAUGCUAUCUUCUGGUUGAGUUAGAGCACAAGGUAAUGUGGGCGCUGAAGAAGUUAAAUCUUAAGUGGGAUGUUGCAACAAAUCUCCGGGAAUGAACUUGAUGAGUUUAGGUUUUGUGCCUAUUGCAGCUCGUCCUUGUAUAAGGACAAGAUGGAGUACUUACAUGAUAAAUAUGCCCGGAGCAAGGAAUUCAAGGAGGAUGACUUGGUUCUCUUAUUCAACUCUCGAUUACGAGUUUCUGAGAAAGCUCAAGUCAAAAUAGAGUGACCCUUUUGAAGUGGUACAUGUAACUAUAUUUGGUGCUCUUGAUUUGAAGAAUAAAAAUGGUGAAUUUUUAGAGUUAAUGUGCACCGAGUCAAACAGUGGGAAAAUUUGAUGACAGUCAUGUGGUGGCCUUGAUCAACUUCAAAUGAUGAUGGUAACAUGUGUCGUGCCGCGACGUUAAAUAAGGCACUUCUUGGGAGGCAAUCCAUGUGUUUUUUCUUCCUUUUGAUUUUCAUCUUAGUGUAGGAUUUGUUUUAGACUAACUGGUUGUGAGAUUUAUGUAGGAAAAUUUGAUGGAGUGCAGGACUAAUACUAGAAAAUUUGGCUAAGUAUGCUAUUAGACCGUUGACCGUGCUCAAAAUUCUGUGAUCAGCUGAAGGUUUUUCGUGGGGGCAGGAUUAUGUAGCGGACGCGAACUUGAAAAUUCCAAAAUGUGACCUCUCUGAAGUUUCAACCACAUCUGCAGUGGAAUUUUCGCGGUCAGAGGACCUUGUUCCGCGGCCGUAGCCCCUUUUUUGCUCUCAGUGGUAGUGUUGAUCUUGCAACUCUUUAAAACAGCAAAAAUCGCGAUCGCGCCAGGUAGGUUGGUGUGGGCCCUCAAGAUUUUAGUAUAAAUAGAGGGCCCCUGCUUUUACCUUUUUUGCACCUUUCACUCUUAAACGAAAUAGCCUACUGUUCAUCAGCCCCAAAUCUGAUCCCAAUAGCAUAGCACUAAUCAGAAGUUAAUUUCCAACACACCUCAAAUAACUGGUAUGUUCAAAUCAUAGAAUCGUUUUUGUAUUUUUGGCUUUUCUUUUCUCUUAGUUGUAACUUUUUUUUAAUUAGGGUUUGAUUAAUCACCAUAAUAUAGGCAUUGAAGUUAAAAAUUCAUGUGGGUACUUGUUGUGUAUGCCUAAUGAGGGGUAGGGUUAUUCAUUUCAUCACCUAAUUGCUUAAUUUGUAUGCUAAGUGAAAACCCUAGAGUGCCCGUUCAUUUUGAAUUCCGCGGCCGCGGCCAUAAUUUUGCGGUCAACGUUCAUCUAAAAUCCUGAGUAAAAAUGGUUUGUCUUCCAUGGUCAACGGUGAAAAUUCCGCUGUCAGCGGCCUGCUUUACGUGGCCAAGCUUCUUUUUUCGCAGAUCGCAGAUGUUAAGUUUAGAGAAUUGCCAAGUUGGGUUCGCGACCACAUUCGUUUUUCCACAAACAGCGGUGCAGUUUUCGCGGUCGCGCCCAAAAUUUCGCUCUCAGUGGUACCUCAGAUUCAGAGAUUGAGUAGUCUGAUUCUCAACAUUUUGCGGAUGGGGUGCUUUUUUCGCGGUUGCCUUUACGCGGCCAAGCCUCUUUUUCCGCGGUCAGGAGAUCCUGAUUCUAAGAGGCAGUAUAUGCAUGUCCUCUGCUAUUGCUUUAUUUCCAUGUGCAAUGUUUUAGCUUCAACUGCAAUGCUUAACCAUAUGAUUGAUACAUUGUUCUGACUUUGUUUCAUGGCUUAUUCUCUGCAGACAAUAGUCCGAUCUAGAGGUGCCGGUGAUACAUAAAAAGGGAGAGUUGAAUCCUCCUGAGGUAGGGGAAGAGGAGGACAAGGAAGGACCAAAUUACCACUAGCGGUCCAGAUACCUAUAGGAAAGCUGUAGAAAACCAUCAAAGUUGCGGAUAGAGUCUCAUCCCAUUUUGAGGGUAGUGAAUAUGUCCCUUCCCGGGAAGCUUCGGAAGGAGACUCAGUGCCAACCCAUAUUCCUGCAGACUUCCAAGGGAAAUUCCAAUUGAAAGACGAGCCUACACCCCCUACUUCUCCUGCUUCUUCUGAGUCGUCUAAUGGCUCAGAGAAAAGUAGUGAGUCUUCAGCAUCAGCCUCUCCUCCAGCUAUACCUUUGGCCUCACCAGCAAACACUAUUGAUGUAGAUGCUGAGAUCCCUGAUGACGGGAGGGGUGGUGACACCCAGACAGGAGGAUUGGCAAGAUCAAGGAACCCCGUGGUAUGGCAAGAACAUUUUGUUAGUGAGAAAGCCUACCGCAAGUUUCAGGAGUGGUGGCCUCAAAGGUCACUUACACAUGAAAGGGUUUUAUUGAGCGAGAAUUGCUACCUCACAACCCGAAUGUCAAGAGGCACUUCAAUGAGAGAGUGGGGUGGAAGUUCUUCACCAGCAACUUACCAGAUGCUAAUGAACACUUGGUCAAGGAAUUUUACACUAAUGUUGCCCACAUAAAAAAGGGCACAUUUUUUACCAAAGUUCGGAACAAGAAGAUUAAGUUUGAUGGAAAGAACUUAAAUGAUUAUGCUGGAUUCAAUGAUGAGGAUGAGUCCCUGUAUCUGGGAAAGGUGGCCAUGGAUGAGUUAGCCCGCCCGUGGCUUGCAUCAAUGAUUGCUCUUCCGGGGACUACUCUAGUUUGGCUGACACCUGGGGUCCCGAUAUAUAGGAACACUUUGAGCUUCGAGGUGAAGGGCUGGGAAACUUUUGUUUGUAGCCGGUUAGACCCCACUACGCAUGAUAGUGAUAUGCCGGUAUCUCGAGCUAUUAUUAUGGGGGAUAUCAUGGAAGGGUACCCGAUCAAUGUCAGGAAUAUUAUGGCCAGGGUGAUCACCAGAGUGGUUGGAUAAGAUGAUAGCUCAUACCCUUUCCUGAACUUCCUUAUGAUGUACCUAGAGGAUCAAGAAGUGGAAGGAAGAGACUUUGAUACUAAGGUGAAACCAAAGAGGCCAUUCUCCUAGUACAGCCUUCAGGGUUCGGACAACCCCAAGCCCAAGGGCAAAGCCUCCACUUCCACUGGCCAGUCUAAAGAGCCAGGGGUGGUGGCCACUGGUUCCGAGCCUUUCACUGCCCUGCCACAUCCUCCCUUCGGACCAUCUACUUCUAUGCCUUAUUCGGUGCCUUCUUCAUCAGCAUACCCUCUAACUACACUGAGGGUUAAUCAGACUCUCUCUCCAGCAUCAACAAUUGGAUGCAGGCAGCUACAUUAAAGUUGUUUGUCCUAUCCAGCACAGUGGCAGCUCAGUCAGCUCCGGCACAGCCUCAGGUUCCUGCUUCAGUGGAGGAAUCACUAAAGAAGCUUUUGGAGAACCAGAAGAAGCUCUUGGACAACCUGAAGUUGAUCAUGGACACUUUGGAAACAUGGGGAAAGCAAUCAUGGACCUGAGCAAACACACGAAGAAAAUGAAGAAGACUCGGGCCUCGAAGAAGUCAGUAAAGAUGCUGAGGAAUGUGGUUGAAAAGAUUAGAUCAGUUGGAGACAUCCCAUUGGACCUACUAUUGGAGGAGCCAGUUCCAGUAGCUUAGGUAGCACAGGAACCAGAGCACAAGGCUAAUAGAGAGCCCAUGAGGAGAGGGGUGAUCCCCCAGACUGAGGAUUUGGAGAUUGAGCUGGAGGACCCAGAGGGAGGUGUCUCAGGCCAGCCACAGGACCCAGCUAGUGAUCCCAUGUAGGCAGAGGCAUCAUAGGGAGUUUCUAUUUACUCUCUACCUUUCCCCUAUUCUAUUUUUGUUGAUAGCAUUGAGGACAAUGCUACUUUUUAUUUGGGGGGGGGGGGUAGCCCUAUUUUGAUGUUGAUGAUGAUUUGGAUAUUGGUUUGUAAUAACUUUGAUACUAUUUCUUUUCUUUAUUUUUUUUACUUAUCGUACUUUAUUUUUGUACUUUUGGUAUGUAUAUAAAGUUACCUUUCCAUGUAUAUAUUUAUUCCCCUUUUAUGUAUAUUCGUCUCAAUCCCCUAUUGUACAUAUUCAGUUUACUCUCCGUAUUUUACUUUAUAACUUCUUUUUCAAUUUUCUUUAAUAGCAUAGCUUCUUAUUUCAGAUAGUAGUUUCUUUUUUUCAAUUUGUAGCUUCUUACUUUUACAAGUUUUCGUGAUCAAUAAGCCUUUGGUUUUCUUAAUGCCAUGGUUCUUUCCAAAGGUGGAAUUUGUGUGAACCGGGUGGCUCUUCCCGAUGAUGGAUGACAUGAAAACCUUUUUAAGGGUUUGAGUCUGUUUUCUUUAAGUUUUUGUGUAAAUAGUAGUAAUGAAUAAAAGUAUCUCAGGCAAAGCUUCACUUGGGCCUAGCAUAUUUACCUUUGACCUUAUGGUUAGAAACAAAUUGAUUUGCAAAGAAUGGUGCUAGUUUUGACCUUUAGACUCUUGUGUUGGCUAAACAAUCAUCGAAUGGUUCUCUGGAGCUAUUUGUCUUGCUCAACCUUAUCUAGGGUGGUUGUGGUCCCUCGACUCUAUUCUCUUUAGCAAUCUAACAGCUUGUGAGGUGGGGUAUUGAUUUACAAGUCCAAGUCCCGUGCCAUAAGUCUAGNNNNNNNNNNNNNNNNNNNNNNNNNNNNNNNNNNNNNNNNNNNNNNNNNNNNNNNNNNNNNNNNNNNNNNNNNNNNNNNNNNNNNNNNNNNNNNNNNNNNNNNNNNNNNNNNNNNNNNNNNNNNNNNNNNNNNNNNNNNNNNNNNNNNNNNNNNNNNNNNNNNNNNNNNNNNNNNNNNNNNNNNNNNNNNNNNNNNNNNNNNNNNNNNNNNNNNNNNNNNNNNNNNNNNNNNNNNNNNNNNNNNNNNNNNNNNNNNNNNNNNNNNNNNNNNNNNNNNNNNNNNNNNNNNNNNNNNNNNNNNNNNNNNNNNNNNNNNNNNNNNNNNNNNNNNNNNNNNNNNNNNNNNNNNNNNNNNNNNNNNNNNNNNNNNNNNNNNNNNNNNNNNNNNNNNNNNNNNNNNCAUAACCCACCAAAUAUGAUAUCCCUAGUCAACCUCAUUGAGUCGAAGCCCUUGUUCUUUCAAUAACCAUGAUACAAGCCUUUAUCCGUUCUAAAAUGACCAUCUCUUGGCAUCCGAUCUUUCCUUAGCACAAUUGGCAAAGCAUAAGUUUGGGGGGAGGGGGAGAGACGAGGAAUGCAAAAGUGAUAAAAGGUACAAAAUGAGGAAAAGUGAAGGCAAAAGAAAAAGAAAGCAAAGCCAAAAAGUCAAAAAGAAAGUGAAUAAUAUAGAAAAAUGAAGGGAUUCAAUAAAAGCAUUGAUGAAAGGCUUGGAAUUAUUAGAAAGGAGAAAAAUGAUUGUCAUGAACAAGAAAGAGUAACAGUGUAUCUCUCUAGUCCCCUAAGGAAGAAGGAAAUGACUCAAUGAGUCAAAAAAGUGUGAGUCGAAAUGAGAAAAUGAAGUGCUUAAGGAAAGAUGAAACCUUCAUAGACCGAUAUACCCUACCUUGAGCCAAAAGCCUUCAUUACAUUCCCGCAAAAACCCUCUAUGAUUUUGAGUUGAGUGAGCUUACAUUAGUGGUGAUUCACAUAAGGGGCAAGCUUAUGGUACUUAGAGCCGGAUUUGUGAUCUUCCUUUGAGAGAGAUGAGUGUACUCUUCCACAAUCCUUGUUCUAAGUGCUAUAAUCUGAAGUGAGAUUUUCUUAUGGAGAGUGAAGGAGAAAGAGUUUGGGUUCCUCAACGACCUACGUAGUAGAGCGAGCUUCCUUGAUAAGUUAAGCCAACACUUGAUGCUCUUGUGUCGCACUAGAGCCAUGGUGCUAAAAAGUUUGUAUGUUGUUUAUAAUACAUUUGUGUUGAGGGUAAUUGUUAGUCCCAAUUGAUGCUUGAUAAAGUUACUUUAGAACAACUGAAAUUUUCCUUUCUUUUUUCUUGAGGAGGUGGGAAUUAUUUUUUUUGCUUGAGGACAAUCAAAAUCUUAAGUUUGGGGGAGUUGAUAACUAUGGAUUCUAGCCUAUCUUAUGCUCUCCUUUGCUUAGGUUUUGGAUAAAAAAUUUAUAAAAGUAUUCCUGAAAACUGAAUUAUUGUGCUUGUUUGCAGGGUUUGGUAAAAAUGAGGCAAGAAAGCCAUAACCAACUCAUGAGGGAGUUAAAUCUACACAAGUUCAAAGCUGAGAUAAAAGCACUGACCGCAAAGGAAAAGAGCGGCAGCGGAAGGUCCACCGUUGAGGCAGCCACAAUUACCCGGUCCGUGGAAUUGAGAUUCAGAGAAGGUGUUUUGGAUGCAAACAGAGACCGCUAACAACGAUGAAAUAGCGCGGUAGCGAAAUACCUGACGUGGCCGUAUUGCAAAUUCCGCUGAGAGCAUCGAUCGAGAUUCAGAGACCCUGCAAAGUGAGCCUAACUGAGGAGUGCAUUCCGCGUCCAAAUUGCGCAGCCGUGGUUGAUGCUAAUGAUGAGGUGACAACUUUUAUGCUCCCAGCGAAAUCAAGUCCAGACCAAGCACAAAAGAGAAGAAACGUGGUCUGUGUCUGCUUUUUUACGGUCGCGGAAGUCCAAGCGCUGACGCGCUCAAUAUUGCACUGACAGUGGAACCUCCGUAGGG
This 14002-nucleotide long non-coding RNA is filed under the name Nicotiana tabacum (common tobacco). RNAcentral's name for it is "long non-coding RNA (NTAB_LNC002167)". Lineage: Eukaryota; Viridiplantae; Streptophyta; Magnoliopsida; Solanales; Solanaceae. The record is from RNAcentral.